RNAcentral lists this ribosomal RNA (587 nucleotides) under Salmonella enterica. RNAcentral describes it as "bacterial SSU rRNA". The record is from RNAcentral. Lineage: Bacteria; Pseudomonadati; Pseudomonadota; Gammaproteobacteria; Enterobacterales; Enterobacteriaceae.
GGAUUAGAUACCCUGGUAGUCCACGCCGUAAACGAUGUCUACUUGGAGGUUGUGCCCUUGAGGCGUGGCUUCCGGAGCUAACGCGUUAAGUAGACCGCCUGGGGAGUACGGCCGCAAGGUUAAAACUCAAAUGAAUUGACGGGGGCCCGCACAAGCGGUGGAGCAUGUGGUUUAAUUCGAUGCAACGCGAAGAACCUUACCUGGUCUUGACAUCCACAGAACUUUCCAGAGAUGGAYUGGUGCCUUCGGGAACUGUGAGACAGGUGCUGCAUGGCUGUCGUCAGCUCGUGUUGUGAAAUGUUGGGUUAAGUCCCGCAACGAGCGCAACCCUUAUCCUUUGUUGCCAGCGRUYMGGYCGGGAACUCAAAGGAGACUGCCAGUGAUAAACUGGAGGAAGGUGGGGAUGACGUCAAGUCAUCAUGGCCCUUACGACCAGGGCUACACACGUGCUACAAUGGCGCAUACAAAGAGAAGCGACCUCGCGAGAGCAAGCGGACCUCAUAAAGUGCGUCGUAGUCCGGAUUGGAGUCUGCAACUCGACUCCAUGAAGUCGGAAUCGCUAGUAAUCGUGGAUCAGAAUGCCACGG